Long non-coding RNA from Bombus pascuorum, 773 nucleotides. RefSeq lists it as uncharacterized. The record is from RefSeq and is a predicted model, not a curated record. The transcript is spliced from 2 exons. Lineage: Eukaryota; Metazoa; Arthropoda; Insecta; Hymenoptera; Apidae.
AUAAAGGAACUUUUUAAUAAAUUCACCGCUUCACUGUUGCUUUUUAUUGUCAUGUUAAACGUAAUUACAAGUUCAAAAUAUGACAAAACACAAUUUUGUUGUACGAGUAUGAAUGCUAAUGUGAUUAGAAAAUUGCAGUCACCAAACUUCAAAACUUCUAGAUUUUCGUAUCUCAAGUUGACAAAAUCUUUUUAUUUGUUUUUUUUUUUUCUUACACUUUGGUAUUUUGUCAUUUAUCUCAGGUAAAUGUAACAUUAAUAUUUUAAUACCGUUUCAUUCCAAAGAGUUUGUACUAUUUUUCCUAUUAUAUUUAGUUUUCACGAAAGAACAUGACAUAACUUUAUCGUUACAUUUUGCGAAACAUUUUUUGAAAAAUGAUGUUUGUUUUUUUUUUGGUCAUAAAUAUAUUGUCAAUGUUUAUUGGAAAACUGUCUAACAUUUUAAAUGUAUUCAUAUUUUUCUAUUGCCAUUUGAAAUAUUCUGCAAAGUUUAUUUAUACUAUGCUGUAUCGUGAAGAAAUUCAUAGCUACUUGAGUACAAACUCAAACGAUAACUAGCUUUACGACGUCGAAACCUAGUAAAAUCUGGGAAAUAAGAUCUAUCUAUCUAUAUUCAUACAAUGUGAUGAAAUACGUUCGUUUUUAUAUUUGUUAUAUUGACUUUCUUCGUUUUAUUAACAUUCCAAUAAAAAUGUCUUCGCUAUUAAACAACAAAUCAUAUCUAACUUUUAUUUCAAUAUAUUUCACUAUAUCACUCGAUAUAAAAUACAUUGA